UUAUGAACCAUUUUUUUUUUUUUUUUUUUUUCUAAAUCUCUACAGGUCUCUUUUUGUUGGGGUUUUUCACAUGUUGAACCAGAUAUCCUCAACAUUCCAUAAAUUGUAGGAUGUAUCCCCACCGUCCACCCAAAAUUGGUUGUUGUUAUGCUCCAUGGCUGGGAAAUCCGAUACCUGGUUAAAAUAACCAGAUGGACUAAUCAUUGACUCCGAGUAGCCAACUUGCCCAGAUUGAAAAUAAUCCGGAUUAACCGAGAUGCCAUAAUAAUCAUUAGGCGAAACCUGAUUUCUCAAUGAGUCUGAUGAUGCAGCCGUGCUCGAAGUUUCUGGGGUAGUGUAAGUACUAGGAGUAACAUGUGCAACCCCAAACUCACUCCCGACAUGAGCUACGGCCCAUUGCCCGCUGCCCAUGUCGGUGUUGGUGCUGUUGAUUAGGUGAUGAUGAUGAGUGGCCUCUGUGAUGGUGCUGUUGAUUAGGUGAUGGUGAUGAGUGGCCUCUGUGAUGGUGCCAUCUAUGGUGGGUACAACUGCGGUGGCAGUGCUAGUGCUAGUGGCUGUGGUAUUGGCUGCUUGAAUUCUCUCCAUUAAUCUCGGCAUCCAUAGGUAUCGCAUGGUGUCUUUGAAUUGCUUGCUAUUCACGUCACAUUUAAGCUGCUUAGCGUG
Molecule: unclassified non-coding RNA, 663 nt
Filed under: Hevea brasiliensis (rubber tree)
Lineage: Eukaryota; Viridiplantae; Streptophyta; Magnoliopsida; Malpighiales; Euphorbiaceae
Source: RNAcentral